ACACAUGUGGAAAUCUGGAAUCUUAAAUGUUCUAAAAUAUGAAGCAGUUUGGGUGAUGAUACAACAAUAGAAGUUGAAAGUUCCACACCUGGCUUCAUGUGAUGGAUCGUGGUCUAAAACAUGCACACCAAAAUUAUUGCAUAAAAUUAUCUUCAGGCUAUGUGUAUAAGGACAUCGAAGCAGCCACAACAGCUCAACUAAAGACACUCAUGAAAGGGGACUUCUGGAGCUGCUCUAGGAAGUGGCAAGAACAAGAGGACAAGUAUAUUUGAAGCAAGCAUUCUCUUCAAGCCUGUCCUCCACUAUCUCCUCUACCACGAAAUAAAUAAAGCCUCCAUCUACAACAGCAACUGCACACAGUUCUUGCCAUCAUUGAGUUUCACCUGUGAACCCCAGCCAUG
Molecule: long non-coding RNA, 401 nt
Organism: Fukomys damarensis (Damara mole-rat)
Lineage: Eukaryota; Metazoa; Chordata; Mammalia; Rodentia; Bathyergidae
Exons: 3
Source: RefSeq, a predicted model, not a curated record